This 2291-nucleotide long non-coding RNA is filed under the name Homo sapiens (human). RNAcentral's name for it is "HSALNT0406668". Lineage: Eukaryota; Metazoa; Chordata; Mammalia; Primates; Hominidae. The record is from RNAcentral.
UGGAAAAGAUCAAUGUUUGUGCCCAGCCUCCUCCAGGCCAUUUCCUAUUCCAGUUGGAAUCCGUUGUGACCAGCUUCACAGUUACCUGCUCCUGUUGGGCGCCUUCUCACCGCGCGCUCGGGUGCAGUGAACUCUGGGAGCCGUCGCAGCCCAGGGAGUCCCCAAGGAAGGCCAGCUGGGGCCAUCCCUUAGCACGGCCUCCCCAGGCCUCCACUUCCCGAUCUGUGAAAUGGGACAGUAAGAGCUCCCCCGAGGCCAAGUCCUGCCGCCCUCCUGCCCUGCUGUGGACCCCAGUGCAACUGUGAGCAUCCGAGGUGGUGAAGGGGACCUCACAGCACACAGAGUGCACGGCGCUGCAGCCCAAGGAGACCUCAUCAGUGUGUCGGCUCUCAUUUUCGUUAUUUUUCCUAUUAUUUUCUCUAUCUUCUGAAGUCCUUAUGUAAGGAAUUAUGGUUUCCGGGGAGACCCAUUGUGAUAAAUGCCAGAAAACAAAAGCUUUUUUCCAGGGCGCUGAGGCCUGUGGAUCCUCCCAGGCCCUGGUCAUGCUCCUGUGCCCACAGAGUGGCCCUGUGUUUGCACUCUUUCUCUGGGGAUGCACAGGGGCGGUGAGAGGGAAGCAGGCGGCUGCUCUUGGCCAGUGGAACUGCCCGGCGUUGGGGUGCAGGCGAGACCCAGCGAGGCUCGAGGACUGCAGACUAUGCAGCAGAUCCUGGCAGGCUUUGGCUGUCUGACCCACUCGGAUGGGCGAGGAGAGAAAUGGGGGGACCAGUGGGACGUUCUGGGGUGCACGCAUGUAGGGGAAGCUGUUAGUGCAUUCUGAGCACCCGGUGCACAUAGGUUGACAAGCUCCGAGGCACACACACACGAGUGUGCACAGGCAGCCUCUGAGGGCUACGCCCACGGGGAUGGGAAGAUGGGGCUGGGAUAGGGAGGGCUGGGCCCCACCCUCUCAGGGACAUAGCCUGAAAACAGGGCAGUGCAGGACUCUGAUGCCUCACACAGUCCUCAGAGCAGCCCCGGUGUGAUGAUCCCCAUAGGCUCAUGCUCCCGUCGGCUGCCAGCCAUCUCUGCAUCCUGCCUUUGAGCCUCUGCACAGCCCUCAUCUGUGGGUGUCCAGAGCCUUCUGCAGAGGCCAGACUGCCACUCAGUGGUCCCCGCAUUUCUGUUGUCUACCAGGAGCACUGUCUGUAUUUUUAAGAGGUGGACAGAUAGCAGUGCAGACAGACGGAUGGGCGUAAGGACGGGCGCCCUGCCAGGAUGCUCCGCUGUCUCUCAGCCCCGGAGGCAAGUGCAGCUGGAGCUGAAUUUGCCUCCUGAGCACAUUUUUUUUUUUUUUUUUGGUGCUCAGAGUAGCCCUUGGGACUGCCCCAUGUCCCCAGCACACCUUCGGCUGAGCAGGGUGCCUGUACCCCUGAGGGAAUUUGCAGAUCAGCUCUCCCUGUCCACACGGGGCACAUAGAGCCCCAGCCAGGGUGGUUCUAGUUCUAGAAAGGAGUGCUGCCUUGAGCCUGUGACCGGGUGGUGGUGGUGAGCCUGAAUUUGGCUUUGGAAUUAGGCCCCUGAGUGUGGCCCUGCUGUGCUCGUACCCCUGAGUUUGCAGCCUGCAUGCCCCAAUUGGGGCCCGCCAGUGGCAAAGCAGUUCCCUUCCCACCUACUCAGGGGAUGUGCAGCCAUGGAGCCUGGGAGGAGGCACCACCACCACCCGUGAUCAGCUCCAACCUCAAACUUCAGGGAGACAUGGUUCCCCAAAUGGUUGCCCCUUCCAGGUUCUCCUCUUCCCGGCGCGUCAGUGGGGGUGUGGUUGUGCCCCAAGGCUCCAACAGGUGUUAGGGGGAGUGGAGGCAGCUGACAGAGCAGGGGCUGGCGUUAUCCUGUGGAAGAGGUCGGGGAAGUGGCCAUGUGUGUUAGAUCCGCAAGUGCUGCCGGUAGCUAUGAGGAGCUCCCUGAUCAGAAGAGCCCAGGUCUCGUCUCUGGAUUGAAGCCACUGGGGCUCUGUGGAGGCCACCAAGAGACCCUGCAUCCGUUCCGUGGACAAGCCACAAUAAGGGAGAUGUCACACAUCUCCAGACGUGCUGCCACACGCAGUGCAGCGGGCAACCUGCCCAUCAGGCUGCAGGGGACGGGGUGCCUCUGGGGACUGGCUCCCAGCAGCCCUGGAGGUCCUCUUGCACUGUUUAAUUCGUGUCUACACAGGGCCACGCUCACAUCAGCGUGCUCUAAUCCUUUAAGAACUGAGAUUGUCUCCAACUACAGCUGAGUUACAAGCUGCAUAAAUUAAAACUUCUCAUACA